UCACGGCCUGAUCACGAGUUGGACUCGCUUUCGCCAGCAGGUACCCUCACGACGUGAGCAAGUGCUCAUUAUUGUCGAUCUCUGGGUACUGCCAGGACCUCACACACCCCAUCCCCCUUACUCAAGGGGGGACAGUAACCACUCCUAGUCAACGGAAAGGAUCCGGCCUGAGCGGGGCUCGAACCGCCGCCAGUUUGGCCUGAAGCCUUGCAGCGCGGCGCACUAACCGAUUGAGAUACCAGAGUGUGUGUGUGUGUGUGUGUGUGUGUGUGUGUGUGUGUGUGUGUGUGUCAUUAUCACCAUUUUCCCAUUCUCACUCUCAAAUCGACUGGAAAAAAAAUAGGAGAAAAUAUAAGAGAAAGAGGGAAAAGGCAAAAGAAGAGAAGGGAAUGGGAAGAAAAUGGUGAGAAGUUUAUCAGAGAAAGAGGGAGGAGGAGGAAGUAUGAUAAUAAUGGAACAAGGAAAAAAAGAUAAGUACAACCGGGAGAAGGAAGAAGAAAGGGAAAAAGGGGGAAUGGGUGAACGAGGAGAGGCUGAGGGGGGUGGGAGGAGGAGGAGAACAGGAGGAAAGGAAGGAGGUAAUAAGUAACAAUGAGUAAGAAGAAGAAAAUGGGGAGGAGGAGGAGGAGGAGGAGGGUCGAGGAAGUAGUAGAGGAGAGGAGAAGGAAUAAAAGGAGGAGGAGGAGAAUUAAUACUUAGAUUAUUCGAUGAGAAGAGGAGGAGGAGGAGGUGCUUAAGCCAUAAUUCCAUAGUUAAAGAAAAAAAUAAAAAGGAGGAGGGAGGGGGGAGGAACUAUGAAGGAGGAGAAUUGAUACUUAUAUAGUUGGACAAGAUGAGGAAGAGGUGCUUAAGCCAUAGUUCCAUAGUUAAAGGUAAAAGGAGGGAGGGAGAGGGGCUACAGAGGUGGAGAAGACGAGGAGGAAGGGGAGCGAUCAGCAAAGCUCAGUAUACGAGAAGCCGCUGAAGGGGGAAGAUUGCAGAAGAACAGGAAAGAGAAAGAGGAGGAUGGGGAGACUGCCGCGUACGUGAGUUUUCCUGGGACGAUUCUACUGACUUCUGCUGACUGUUGGUGGACUGGACCUGUGAACAUGCAAGGACAUUUGACUGCAGCUGCUGGCUUCACAAAACUACCUUGCUGAUGUCAUGCUGAACACUACUCUGGCAAGAGCCUUCUUUGUACCUGGAUAUAUGGUUGUAUUUCCUCCUGCCCAGGACUUGAACACAGGAGAGCAUGGCCUAAGGCUACAGAUUCCAUCCAGUCUUCUGGCCCCUCCAACUGCAUCUAUUUACAAGAGCUUUAGGUUAUACUAAAAAAAAAAAUUAAAU
Molecule: long non-coding RNA, 1326 nt
Organism: Eriocheir sinensis (Chinese mitten crab)
Lineage: Eukaryota; Metazoa; Arthropoda; Malacostraca; Decapoda; Varunidae
Exons: 2
Source: RefSeq, a predicted model, not a curated record